RNAcentral lists this ribosomal RNA (427 nucleotides) under uncultured bacterium. RNAcentral describes it as "bacterial SSU rRNA". It matches the Rfam family "Bacterial small subunit ribosomal RNA", at positions 28 to 454 of the family's 1533-position model. The record is from RNAcentral.
GAUGAACGCUGGCGGCGUGCUUAACACAUGCAAGUCGAACGGGAUCCCAGGAGCUUGCUCCUGGGUGAGAGUGGCGAACGGGUGAGUAAUGCGUGACCGACCUGCCCCAUACACCGGAAUAGCUCCUGGAAACGGGUGGUAAUGCCGGAUGCUCCAGUUGACCGCAUGGUCCUCUGGGAAAGAUUCAUCGGUAUGGGAUGGGGUCGCGUCCUAUCAGCUUGAUGGCGGGGUAACGGCCCACCAUGGCUUCGACGGGUAGCCGGCCUGAGAGGGCGACCGGCCACAUUGGGACUGAGAUACGGCCCAGACUCCUACGGGAGGCAGCAGUGGGGAAUAUUGCACAAUGGGCGCAAGCCUGAUGCAGCGACGCCGCGUGCGGGAUGACGGCCUUCGGGUUGUAAACCGCUUUUGACUGGGAGCAAGCCCU